Molecule: ribosomal RNA, 585 nt
Filed under: uncultured Pseudomonas sp.
Lineage: Bacteria; Pseudomonadati; Pseudomonadota; Gammaproteobacteria; Pseudomonadales; Pseudomonadaceae
Description: bacterial SSU rRNA
Rfam family: Bacterial small subunit ribosomal RNA
Source: RNAcentral
ACGGGUGAGUAAUGCCUAGGAAUCUGCCUGGUAGUGGGGGAUAACGCUCGGAAACGGACGCUAAUACCGCAUACGUCCUACGGGAGAAAGCAGGGGACCUUCGGGCCUUGCGCCAUCAGAUGAGCCUAGGUCGGAUUAGCUAGUUGGUGGGGUAAUGGCUCACCAAGGCGACGAUCCGUAACUGGUCUGAGAGGAUGAUCAGUCACACUGGAACUGAGACACGGUCCAGACUCCUACGGGAGGCAGCAGUGGGGAAUAUUGGACAAUGGGCGAAAGCCUGAUCCAGCCAUGCCGCGUGUGUGAAGAAGGUCUUCGGAUUGUAAAGCACUUUAAGUUGGGAGGAAGGGCAUUAACCUAAUACGUUAGUGUUUUGACGUUACCGACAGAAUAAGCACCGGCUAACUCUGUGCCAGCAGCCGCGGUAAUACAGAGGGUGCAAGCGUUAAUCGGAAUUACUGGGCGUAAAGCGCGCGUAGGUGGUUCGUUAAGUUGGAUGUGAAAUCCCCGGGCUCAACCUGGGAACUGCAUUCAAAACUGUCGAGCUAGAGUAUGGUAGAGGGUGGUGGAAUUUCCUGUGUAGCGGUG